Molecule: non-coding RNA, 76 nt
Filed under: Halomonas sp. M1
Lineage: Bacteria; Pseudomonadati; Pseudomonadota; Gammaproteobacteria; Oceanospirillales; Halomonadaceae
Source: RNAcentral
AAGCGAAACGCCCCGCUCUUUUGAAGAACGGGGCGUCUGCCGGGCGUGGUGGCCCGUCACUGAUGAGCAGCCAAGG